This 345-nucleotide unclassified non-coding RNA is filed under the name soil metagenome. RNAcentral describes it as "partial contains 5.8S ribosomal RNA, internal transcribed spacer 2, and large subunit ribosomal RNA". The stretch from base 1 to 120 matches the Rfam family "5.8S ribosomal RNA", at positions 35 to 154 of the family's 154-position model. The record is from RNAcentral.
GAUGAAGAACGCAGCGAAAUGCGAUAAGUAGUGUGAAUUGCAGAAUUCCGUGAAUCAUCGAAUCUUUGAACGCACAUUGCGCCUUCUGGUAUUCCGGAAGGCAUGCCUGUCCGAGCGUCAUUGCUGCCCUCAAGCACGGCUUGUGUGUUGGGCCUCCGUCCUCCUCCCGGGGGACGGGCCCGAAAGGCAGCGGCGGCACCGCGUCCGGUCCUCGAGCGUAUGGGGCUUCGUCACCCGCUCUUGUAGGCCCGGCCGGCGCUUGCCGACACAUCAAUCUUUUUUCCAGGUUGACCUCGGAUCAGGUAGGGAUACCCGCUGAACUUAAGCAUAUCAAUAAGCGGAGGA